Annulohypoxylon maeteangense is the source of this 87-nucleotide non-coding RNA. The record is from the annotation of a RefSeq genome assembly. Lineage: Eukaryota; Fungi; Ascomycota; Sordariomycetes; Xylariales; Hypoxylaceae.
AGUCGCGUGGUCUAAAGGUUAUGAUUUCUCGUUUACAGUCUCCUGUAAGCUCCGAGACGGUUCCGUGUUCGAUCCACGGCGUGACUA